CCUACGGGUGGCAGCAGUGGGGAAUUGUUCGCAAUGGGCGCAAGCCUGACGACGCAACGCCGCGUGGAGGAUGAAGAUCUUCGGGUUGUAAAGCACUGUCGAGGGGGAGAAAAGCCCGCAAGGGUCUGAUCUAUCCCUGGAGGAAGCACGGGCUAAGUUCGUGCCAGCAGCCGCGGUAAGACGAACCGUGCGAACGUUGUUCGGAAUCACUGGGCUUAAAGGGCGCGUAGGCGGGCAUUCAAGUCGGUGGUGAAAUCCUCCAGCUUAACUGGAGAAGAGCUGUCGAUACUGGGUGCCUCGAGGGGUGCAGGGGUCUGCGGAACUUCGGGUGGAGCGGUGAAAUGCGUAGAGAUCCGAAGGAACGCCGGUGGCGAAAGCGGCGGACUGGGCACCUUCUGACGCUGAGGCGCGAAAGCCAGGGGAGCAAACGGGAUUAGAUA
Molecule: ribosomal RNA, 440 nt
Filed under: uncultured bacterium
Lineage: Bacteria
Description: bacterial SSU rRNA
Rfam family: Bacterial small subunit ribosomal RNA
Source: RNAcentral